RNAcentral lists this transfer RNA (83 nucleotides) under bacterium. RNAcentral's name for it is "tRNA-Leu". It matches the Rfam family "tRNA". From Rfam's summary of the family: Transfer RNA (tRNA) molecules are approximately 80 nucleotides in length. The record is from RNAcentral. RNAcentral also lists the same sequence under 1 other name.
GCCGGUGUGGCGGAAUGGUAGACGCGACGGACUUAAAAUCCGUUGUCCGCAAGGACGUGGGGGUUCGAGUCCCUUCGCCGGCA